GGGCAAGAGCCACUGUCAAGUUUCGUUUAAGAAAUUGCAGCCGUCUAGACUCUCCUGGCUCCACCCCCACCGAGUGGUUCCUAGUGCCCAGGGAGUUGAAGCCGGGGGCCACGUGUGCACCCGCGUGUGUGUGUGUGUGUGUGUGUGUGUGUGUGUGUGUGUGUAGAGCUCACUGUGGGGCUUAGUUUUAAGGACUCAGGCUCUGCAUUCAGACAGGCAUAGGUUCAGAUCCGGCCCUGCCAGUGGCUGGGGUAUCAGACAAGCUACUUAAGCUGCUGGAGCCUCAGUUUCUUCAUCUGUGAAGUGGGAUAAUAACAAGAAACCUGUGUCUUGGAGUGGGCGCGAGGAUUUGAUGAGAGGAUGAGUGUAUGUGCCUGGCACACAGUAGAUGCUUAAUAAAUGCCAGCCUCAUCCUCACCACCUUCCCCUCGCUCGCUCUGCUGCAGCCGAACUGGCCUUUCUCGGUUCCUUCUACACAUGGACCAGUUCCUGAUCUCACGCCAGCUGCUUCUCUGCCGGGACCCCUCUGUCCUCAAUGGCCCACUCCAUCACCAUCCAGCGGAUGCCGCUGCCCAGUCCCCUGGUCCUGAUGUUGGCAACAGAUGAUGCUUAAGACGUCUGCCCUUGGAGCCCUUCUGCUCGAGUUCCAAUCCAGUGUCCCUUUGCCAACCCCAGUGGACGGGAGCCAGGCGCCCUGGGACCUGCACUUGCACGGCUGGAGAGUCUCUCUGGCGACAAGCAUCGCCCUCCUCUUUCUGCUGUGACAUCGGUGGGAGGCGUUCUCGCUAAGGCCGCGAGCAAGUCCGUGAUGAGGCUCCUCUGGUCUCUCCCAGCCCCCGGGGAGGCAGACAGAGCAGGGCACACGCAGCCCGUGUUACAGAUGGGGACCCGGAGGCCCCGAGAGGUUGAUCCCUCGGGACAGCCCCAGUGAGUUCACAAACCGGACUCGGCCGUCUGAGCCCCCACCAUGCCUUGGGGGUGGGGGAGGUGAGAAGGGCAAGGCUCUGGUGGGGCCCACCGUGGCCUCCCUUCUCAUCCUGGCAGCUUGGAAGGUCUGUUCCUCCAUCCGUUCCUUCUUUCUUUCCUCCUUCCCGGGCUCCGACCUGGACGGUGUGGGAGUGAAGCACCUGUGACAGGUCUGCUGUUUCACCGAUGGGCUGUGUGACCUUAGGAAGAACGAGGGGCCUGAAACCUGCCUCUCAGGGCUGCUGGGAGGGUCUCAAGUCCCUCCCGUGUGUACAAGUGCCGGGCACAGCGCUGAGCACGAUACGCGGUCUCAGCUACAGCGUGUCAAGUGGGGCAGGCUUCUGGUUGUGCUCAGGCCCUGGAGGCCGGGUCCUCGUCUUCGAGGCCAGGGGGGUGGGGUCGCUGUAUAGGAAUCUUUUCGCGGGUAGACCAGGACCAGGGACCAUCCCCGGGUGUGUCCUCACCACCCUCUGGUGAGCACUCUCCUUCACUCGCCCUUCCGGCAGUUUUUCUGGAACACCUACUGUGUGUGGGCAUCGAUCUGUGUCCCGAGACUGGAGCCCAGUGUGAGACAAAGCCCCUGACCUCAUGGAACUUCUUCCUUCCCAGAGCAAGGAGAGAGAAAGGGGACGAGGAAGAUUAAAUGCAGAAAUCUCGAGUGGAGGUGGCGCUGUGAAGGAAGCGGGCAGCACAACGUGGUGGUGGACAGGGUGGUCAGGGGAGGGCUUGCUAAGGAGCUGGACCAUCAGGCAGACUCCUGACGUUUGUGGGAAUUUCCCGGGGAAGAGCAUUGCAGGCAGAGGGACCAGCAGGUGCAAAGGCCCUGGGGUGAGAUCUGAAAGGAAUCCAGCGCCACUGGAGGAUAGGGAGUGGCAGGGUGAAUUGUGUGCGAGUUGGUGGGUGAGCUAGGAUCGUGGGAGGCUUUAGACGAUGGAGCUAGGAGUUUAGUUUUGGUUUAGCAUGAGAGGAAGCCGUUAGUGUUUAGCAGGGGGGUGACACGUCUGAUUAUAUUUAGCUCCAUUGAGAAAAGACUCUGGCAGAGCAAGAGAGGAAGCUGGGAGAUCAGUGAGGAGGCAACAGAAGCCUCCAGGCGAGAGACGAUGGGGACUGGGACCAUUGCAGUAGUAGUUAGGUACAGGGAGCAGUAGUUGGAUCGGGGACAUAUCUUGGGGUGGAUCUCAUCAGACUUGCUGAUGGAUGUGAGAGAUAAUGGACAGGAGGGAUGGAGAGUGACUGACAGAUUUUGGGCCUGGGCAUCUGGGAGAAGCGAAAAUGCAGGAGGCACAGACAGUCUCUCCCUGCUGAGAUUGAAGGAUUCUUAAGGACGCUUCCUGUGCCAGAUUCGUUAUUUUAUUGCCCAUUCCGUGCCUCGUGGGGGCCUGACCGGAGGAGGUUGUCAGGAAUGGUUUGUGGGUUGCCGAUGUGAGUGAGGGAGGGAAGGGCUCGUGAAGGUGUGCAAGUGUGAAUACGUGAAAGGCGGGUUAAUGACACUCCCACGCCCAAGGUGGACCAACAUCCGGGCUUUCCCUAAGUGGAUGACGCAGAACAAUAGCCCUUGGCCCUAAGUGGUUCUGCAGCAGGAUGGUUUGGGGACCAAUGUGUAUUUUUCUUCCCUUUCUGGAGAUUCAAAUUGUGCAUUAGGUCAAAUAAAGGCUCUGAUAAGUCCCGCACAAAAGAGCCUAUUUAAUUUGGGUUAAGCCAGCAUUUCCCAGACUUUACUGAUCACAGAGCCUCUUUGGCUGGUGCAUUUAACAACAUCUAAACUCACUUCAGGAAAGGCUCUUCAGGCCAGCCCCCCUCAGUUCUGCUCAGUUGCUGGCUGCCACAGAAGAGUGUCAAAGGGACAUAAUGCCCUCCCACACUUAGCUGCGAUUGAGGGUUAUUCUGAAGAUAGUGCCCCCAUUAGCAUCAUAAUGACGUCUGUCCGUCAGUCAGUGCUCACCCUGGGCCAGGCACUUUUAAGCGUGGUUCACUGAAAGCUCGCAGCAGCCCUGUGACCUGGGUACUGUCCUCGCAUCCUCCUUUCACAGGUGGGAAGGCAGGGCUUGGAAGGACGAGGUCGCUUGCCCAAGGUCGGACGGCUGGGAAGCAGCACAUCCUGGAUGCCAUCACAGGAAGGUCCUGGAGCAUCCCCUCCUCCAGCCUGACCACUCCCUCCCCUCAUCCAUCCCAGCCCCAGCCGGUCAGCCACAGCGGGGGGCCCCCAGUUUGGCGUCUGCAUCGCCAGCUUGCGUCUGGGCUCCCCUGGGCGGCCCACCCCCACCCCGCCCCCAGCCGUCCCGGCCAGCCCGACGUGAGCCUCUCCGAAGCCCGUGGAAUUGGAGAGUUUUAAACAGGAAACUGGUAUAAUUUUGGUUAGGCGCUCAGGCCAGAGGGAGAAGCGCUGCCAGGCACAGCCGCAUCCAAGAGAAAUAGAGAGGAGGGUUUAGGGUUUCAAGUUUGUGCAUUUCAGGGAUGUUAAGACAAAUAAAGGAC
Equus caballus (horse) is the source of this 3441-nucleotide long non-coding RNA. Lineage: Eukaryota; Metazoa; Chordata; Mammalia; Perissodactyla; Equidae. The record is from Ensembl.